GCGGACGCUUAGAUCUCAGGGCCGGCGCUUAAUUAGGGGCGAAACGGAAAGCAGAUGCAGCGCAGUGUAGCAUCAACAUUUCUGAGGCUCAAGGAGGUAGGGCCUGAGAGCUAAGUGCUAAUUCUGUUUUGUAGUGAUCAUAGCUAAUGAGGUAAUAAUGGUAAUUAUAGUAAGUCAGGCAUUGUGUCCUAAAUGUUAUAACUUUUACUUGACUCGGCAAAUAUGACUGCACAAAGUAAGGGAAGGCUGGAAAGGCAGAUGAGACAUUAACAAAUACAGCUAACCAAAUAUGCAUUUCUGUGACAACAGCGAAAAGCACACCGUCUGUAGCAAUGGAGUGAUAAUAUUGUACUGCAUACUAGUCAGGCCACACGUGGAGUACUGCAGUCCCUGUACCACACUUUUAAGAGAUUAUACGUGGAAUUUUGGAGCUCGGUCAAAGGUGAGCCGCCAGAUAAGGGUUGGUGGAAGGAGGCGAAGAGAGAUCACUCCGAACAUGACAUCUGUCUUCAUGUGAAAGAAUGGGUAGAACUGAUGUGGCCCCGAGAGUUAUCUGUAGGGCAAAGGACUGGAAGUUAAAUGAAGAUAGAUUUUAACUGAAAACAAAGAUCAAUUCUUUUAGAGUCUGAAGAAGGAUUAUUUUAGGAAGUAACUCCCUCUUCCCCCUUCCCACCAUGUUGCAGUGGAUCAAAUAUACACUGAAUCACUACCUCAUGUAUUCAACACUUAUUUCAUGUAGGCUUAAUGCAUUGCUGUGGUGCUUGUUCUGCCGCUGAUGUGGGGCCAGCUAGUCUUUGUAGUUCCUGUAGUCUCAGUUCUGCAAACUGGCCCCAGUCCAGGAAAUCACCCUAUGUAGGAGUGGCUACAGUUAAGACCCAGAAAGACAAUCCUGAGGGGACCUGACAUCCAGCUUCUGUGUUCCGACUAUUACAGUUUGAAUAAGUGACCCGCAGAUUCAUUACACACAAGGGAAUGUGUCUUCCUUUCAUUGGAUUGAACUCUGUCAUACCAACUACCUGUAAGAUGUCAAUCCCUGAUCCAGAAUUUCAAGGAGCUGUGGAGGCAGCUCUACUGUGGGAGUGUCAUAAACCAGAGACCUUUGUGUCCUGGCUAUAUCUAUUAGGGAAGCAGCAGUUGACAUUUUGAAAUAGCUAUUAUCUUCAAGGAAGCCUCACCUCCCUAAUGAGAGAGUUUAUUCUCUCCACAGUGGUCGGGGCAGUCUGAGAGAAAAUGACCAACAGAAUAUGAUGGAAUUGAUGGUACGUGACUUCUUCCAAGUUUAGGUCAUAAAAGACACUAAAGUUUCUGCUUUGGCCUCUUGAAUCACUUUCUCUGGGGGAAACCAGCUACUGGGUCAUAAAGACACUCAAGCAGCCCCAUAGAGGGGCCCAAGUGGAGAGAAACCACUUGCCAGCAUUAUCUUGGUGGUCAUGCAGCUGUGUGAAUGAGUGGAUCCUACCAUCCUGGUCAAACCUCUGCUAACUGAAGGCCCCACCUAUAUUUGACUGCAGUCUUCUGAGAGACCUCCAAGCUGCUCUAGAAUUCCUGACCUACAGAAACUGUGAGGGAUAAUAUAUGUUUGUUGUUUUAAGCCAGUACAUUUUGGAGUAAUUUGCUACCCAGCAAUAUACAACGAAUACAGAAGUCAUCACAGGUAAUAUUUUUAUUAAAUAAUUGCAUGGCACAAACCUGGGUCUCCAUCUUUGUAGGCUUUGAUUUUUGUUUCUAUACCACUCACUGACUGUUAAGCCACAUAUUUUAGGUUUUUGUUAUAAUCACACCUAACCUCAAUGUACCCUUUGGUUAGGUGUGCAAUAGAUAACGCUAGAUACUAGAACAGAUAAAUCUUGACAUCUGAGUGGAUUAAUAUAAUAAACGUUUAUUUUUCAUUUCAUAUAAGGUCUAAAAGUCCAAUUAAUGGAAAUUGGCAGGGUAGGAAGCCCUCUGAUCCACAACAUCCAAAAACUGACUGACAUCUUCAUUACAAGGCUUCCAAGGUUGCUAGGGUGACAGCAUCUUUAAUAUGUGGCUUCUGGGGUUGUGCUAGGUGACAACAUCCAGUAAUUCAUAUGAAAAUAUCUUUUUCUUCCUUUAUUUGUGACAAAGAAAGUUUGCUUUAUUUCAAGCUGGAAACUCCUGGGACCUUCAGGGAACCUCUUCCUCAGCUACAUGCCUCUGUAGUGUCAGCUUGCUCUACUGCUGGGGAGUGCUUGGCUGAUUACCUUCUUCCUGCCCUGGGAGAUGUUUCAGGAAUCAUUCAUUCAUUCAGCAAACAUUACAACGUUCCAGGCACUGUGCCAAGUACUGAGUAUUCAUUGAUAUAGGAUAAAAUCUCUGUCCUAAAGUUGCUUGCAGUCAGAUGGGAGAAAAGCAAGUAAAUACAAUGAUUUGGUAAGUGCUGUGAUAGAAUGGGCACAAAAGUACUGAGAGAUCGUAAAAGUGGGAGCAACUGACUUUUCUUGGGAAGUUUGUAAACUUGCAUAAAGAGGAAGACAACUGAGCUGACUCUUGUAGGAUGAGAAGAAGCUGACCACAGGAAAAAUGCUGGACAGAGCACAGAGUCCUGAAACAAUGUGACAUUCAUCAGUAUCUGCCAGGACUAUCCAUAUUGGGUUACUGGCCAAUAGUUCUGUAAGGCUGGGGCUCAGGAAUGUGUAGACAAAUGUGAGAGGUGAGACUAGAAAGGUGGUGUACUAGUUGGGCUGUGUUAGCAAGAGAUGAUUUUGGCUAUGUUAAAUUUAAAAAAAAUAAAAAGAAACUCUGGGGUAGCUUAGAAAAUUGAAGGAAGGCUGAAGAACCAUGAUCUGAAAGAUGUGGAGCCAAACAUUUCCUGGAAAUCUAGGUAAGAAGAAACUAAUUGUGAAUAUUUCUUCAGGAGCCAAGAUAAAUGAAUUCCAACCAAUUUUCAGUUUCGUUGUUGCUCCUAUUGAGGAUUCACAUUCCAGGGAGAGAGUGUCUGAUUGGCCCAUUUGGGUGAAAAAACCUGACCCUUAACCGUGAGAUGCUAGGGGUUCAUCAAGACUACAUCUAACUGAGGAAGGAUGUUUCCCAUAGAUGAAAUGGAGAUUAUAAAAGAAGGAGAAUACAUUCUGCUCAGGUAAAAACAGUUGUAGUUUCUAGGUGGGUUGGAGUCAGUAACGAAGGGCUUCGUAAGUCAUGUUAAAAAAAAUCUAGAAUUUAUUCGGUAGGCAAUGAAGAGCCAUAGAAGGAAUUUGAGCAGAGAAGUAACAUGAUAAAUCCCAGACAAAAGCUUUCGGCUAAUUUGAUUUUGUUAUGAGUUUAUUUUUAUCUGUAAUGAACAAAUUUAACUCUUUCUAUAGUUCUUAUUGACAUGGAAGAGAACAAAUAUCAUUCUACCAUUCCUUUCCAUAGUCCAAACAAAUACACCUUUUAUUUUUUCCUGAGAUUUGUGUAGUGAAUGGGCCGGGGGGGUGGGGGGGAGAAAUGGACCAAAUCUCCAUUGAUCAAGAAAGUUUUCAUGUUCUUUCUGAAUCAGAUUCUCUUCCCUCCCACACAGUGAUGUGCUAGAGCUGGUUUGUACUGGCUGGCGAGAGUUGUUUGCUAAAUUUUCAGGAAUUCUGUGAGUCAUUUGUUAAGGAUAGUCAUUAUUAACAAUUAAGUUAUAUAAAUUUAAACAAAAAAGAUAUGAAACACAAAGGUGUAAUAAAUAUUGAAAGCUGACCACUUCCUAAA
This is a long non-coding RNA of Cebus imitator (Panamanian white-faced capuchin), 3693 nucleotides long. RefSeq lists it as uncharacterized. The record is from RefSeq and is a predicted model, not a curated record. NCBI's taxonomy places the organism in Eukaryota, Metazoa, Chordata, Mammalia, Primates, Cebidae. The transcript is spliced from 4 exons.